Non-coding RNA from Paramuricea clavata, 288 nucleotides. The record is from the annotation of a GenBank genome assembly. NCBI's taxonomy places the organism in Eukaryota, Metazoa, Cnidaria, Anthozoa, Malacalcyonacea, Plexauridae.
AAAUUUUGGAGCAAAUUUGGAUGCUCAGAAUGCAGGAAAUGACAUUUCCGGGAUUCAAAUUUCAAAAAUUUUCUGGGGGAGUACUCCCCCAGACCACCACCCCCAUUCAUGCGUGGUAUAUUGGCGAACCACGUAGCCUUCAGCCAUUGCUAUCCCCCUCUAAUAUAUUAUCUCACAGAAAAGUCCCUUUUCAAAAAAUGCCCCCCCCCAGGAAAAUCCUUAAAAAAGGCCCUGUAUGUUAGUCAUCGCGACAUGGCAUUUUAUAAUUUUUAUAUAUGUUAAUCACCG